Long non-coding RNA from Arabidopsis thaliana (thale cress), 308 nucleotides. RefSeq annotates it as other RNA. Lineage: Eukaryota; Viridiplantae; Streptophyta; Magnoliopsida; Brassicales; Brassicaceae. The transcript has a single exon. The record is from RefSeq.
GCCUCGUCCCGAAAAACCAGUCAAAAUUGUCUUCAUUGAGCCAUUUUAGAUCAGAAAUAAAUAGCCACCAUAUACAGUUUCGGUUAUAAACGUUAGUUAUGUGUUCUUUUCUUUGUCUCCUUCAUCUAUUUUGAAUAGAAAAAAUCUCAAAAUUUUAGCCGAUUUUGGAGACAUAAUCUCUUGGGCGUGAAGAUGAUUUGAUUUUGUUUUGUUUAGUACUGGAGGAAUUGCUUAUAACCAUGUUGAGGAUUGGACUGAAUCCAGGAUACUGGUAUAACUUGCUCGACCCUUGUCAACUCUCUUUUUUG